This 119-nucleotide ribosomal RNA is filed under the name Pteropus alecto (black flying fox). Lineage: Eukaryota; Metazoa; Chordata; Mammalia; Chiroptera; Pteropodidae. The record is from RNAcentral.
GUCUACGGCCAUGCCACCCUGAACAUGCCCGAUCUCAUCUGAUCUCAGAAGCUAAGCAAGGUCGGGCCCGGUUAGUACUUGGACAAGAAGACCCUUAGUAAUACCAGGUGCUGUAGGCA